GGAGACGUGUCAGAGUGGUCUAACGUACCUCUUUGCUAAAGAGGCAGGGACUUAAAUCCCUCGGAGGUUCGAAUCCUCUCGUCUCCGCCA
Molecule: transfer RNA, 90 nt
Filed under: Minisyncoccota bacterium
Lineage: Bacteria; Bacillati; Minisyncoccota
Description: tRNA-Ser
Rfam family: tRNA
About the family: Transfer RNA (tRNA) molecules are approximately 80 nucleotides in length. Their secondary structure includes four short double-helical elements and three loops (D, anti-codon, and T loops).
Source: RNAcentral